RNAcentral lists this ribosomal RNA (192 nucleotides) under uncultured bacterium. RNAcentral's name for it is "partial 16S ribosomal RNA". It matches the Rfam family "Bacterial small subunit ribosomal RNA", at positions 1309 to 1500 of the family's 1533-position model. The record is from RNAcentral.
AACCCGACUACAUGAAGCUGGAAUCGCUAGUAAUCGCGGAUCAGAAUGCCGCGGUGAAUACGUUCCCGGGUCUUGUACACACCGCCCGUCACACCAUGGGAGUCGGAAAUGCCCGAAGUCUGUGACCCAACCGAAAGGAGGGAGCAGCCGAAGGCAGGUCGGAUGACUGGGGUGAAGUCGUAACAAGGUAGC